This 253-nucleotide ribosomal RNA is filed under the name uncultured bacterium. RNAcentral's name for it is "partial 16S ribosomal RNA". It matches the Rfam family "Bacterial small subunit ribosomal RNA", at positions 524 to 776 of the family's 1533-position model. The record is from RNAcentral.
UACGUAGGGGGCAAGCGUUGUCCGGAUUUAUUGGGCGUAAAGAGCGUGUAGGCGGCUUGGUAGGUCCGCUGUGAAAACUCGAGGCUCAACCUCGAGAUGUCGGCGGAAACCACUUGGCUAGAGUCCGGAAGAGGAGUGUGGAAUUCCUGGUGUAGCGGUGAAAUGCGCAGAUAUCAGGAAGAACACCUAUGGCGAAGGCAGCUCUCUGGGACGGUACUGACGCUGAGACGCGAAAGCGUGGGGAGCGAACAGG